Paramuricea clavata is the source of this 157-nucleotide non-coding RNA. The record is from the annotation of a GenBank genome assembly. Lineage: Eukaryota; Metazoa; Cnidaria; Anthozoa; Malacalcyonacea; Plexauridae.
GACGCCGAUAUUCGACGUCAUAAACACGAGCAAGUUUGGUGUUUAUGACGUCGAUAUUCGACGUCAUAAACACGAGCAAGUGUGGUGUUUAUGACGUCGAUAUUCGACGUCAUAAACACGAACAAGUUUGGUGUUUAUGACGUCGAUAUUCGACGUC